CGGAGUAAUACAUAAGUAACCUGCCCUAGACAGGGGGAGUAACUAUUGGAAACGAUAGCUAAGACCGCAUAGGUACGGACACUGCAUGGUGACCGUAUUAAAAGUGCCUCAAAGCACUGGUAGAGGAUGGACUUAUGGCGCAUUAGCUGGUUGGCGGGGUAACGGCCCACCAAGGCGACGAUGCGUAGCCGACCUGAGAGGGUGACCGGCCACACUGGGACUGAGACACGGCCCAG
Molecule: ribosomal RNA, 236 nt
Filed under: uncultured bacterium
Lineage: Bacteria
Description: partial 16S ribosomal RNA
Rfam family: Bacterial small subunit ribosomal RNA
Source: RNAcentral